AUUGAACGCUGGCGGCAGGCCUAACACAUGCAAGUCGAGCGGAGCGUCUGACGGGUGAGUAAUACCUAGGAAUCUGCAUGGUAGUUGUGGAUAACGUUCGGAAACGGACGCUAAUACCGCAUACUAUCAGAUGAGCCUAGGUCGGAUUGGCUAGUUGGUGAGGGAAUGGCUCACCAAGGCUACGAUCCGUAACUGGUCUGAGAGGAUGAUCCGUCACACUGGGACUGAGACACGGCCCAGAAUCCGACGGGAGGCAGCAGGGGGGAAUAAUGGACAAGGGGCGAAAGCCUGAUCCAGCAAUGCCGCGUGUGUGAAGAAGGUCUUCGGAUGGUAAAGCGCUUUAAGUUGGGAGACGUUACCGACAGAAUAAGCACCGGCUAACUCGGUGCCAGCCGCCGCGGUAAUUC
RNAcentral lists this ribosomal RNA (407 nucleotides) under uncultured bacterium. RNAcentral describes it as "partial 16S ribosomal RNA". It matches the Rfam family "Bacterial small subunit ribosomal RNA", at positions 30 to 526 of the family's 1533-position model. The record is from RNAcentral.